CUACAAUCCGCUUAUGGAAGGAAAUUUGACCACAGCGCCGACGGCGGCAGCUGAUAAAAUUUCCGACCCCCGCUUGAUUGUGACGCUGGAUGAAUGCUCUUAUCAAUGGACAAAUGAGAAACACAAUUCAUAUCUCUAUCAUUUGGAAAUGUCAUUUGUUGAACAGCUGUACCAAUCAAAAUCUGUGGUUGCACGAUGCUCACUGCACAAUCUGAGAGGCAUAAAUAUAUCUCGGAAGCAGUUCAUCACUGUUAACAAUGCUUCGUAUCAGGUUCAUCAAACUUGUUUAAUCAAAAUACGCUAAAUUCCGAGUCUCAAGCAAAAAGGUUGAAGAUAGCUUUAGAGGAUGGAUCACAUCAGGAUCAAAUUGUGCCUUAAAAGGAAUGCCAUCAAGCAGAUUACACAUAAUCAAUCAAAGGAUUUCUCACUAUGAAUCUGUCUUGAAACUUUGAGGCUUGUGUUUUACAUGGGAGCCCAUACUAUUAAAGAGGAUCGUGAAGAUUCAAAUGAGGUGCAAGAUUUCAAGUUUCCCCUAGCAUUGCAUAAUCGAGGUAACAUAUAAAGCUGAGUCCAUGUCAAGUGAUAGUGAAGGAUGGGAUCCUGUGGCAUUUUGAUACCCCAAAAGUAAGACCCAUACCGUUUCUCGCAGUAGACUAGUAGGAACACAACCUUCGUGCCUUCACAAACUC
Salvia splendens (bonfire salvia) is the source of this 689-nucleotide long non-coding RNA. RefSeq lists it as uncharacterized. NCBI's taxonomy places the organism in Eukaryota, Viridiplantae, Streptophyta, Magnoliopsida, Lamiales, Lamiaceae. The transcript is spliced from 3 exons. The record is from RefSeq and is a predicted model, not a curated record.